Molecule: ribosomal RNA, 449 nt
Filed under: uncultured bacterium
Lineage: Bacteria
Description: partial 16S ribosomal RNA
Rfam family: Bacterial small subunit ribosomal RNA
Source: RNAcentral
AACGAACGCUGGCGGCAUGCCUAACACAUGCAAGUCGAACGAAGGCUUCGGCCUUAGUGGCGCACGGGUGCGUAACGCGUGGGAAUCUGCCCCUUGGUUCGGAAUAACAGUGAGAAAUUACUGCUAAUACCGGAUGACGACGAAAGUCCAAAGAUUUAUCGCCGAGGGAUGAGCCCGCGUAGGAUUAGCUAGUUGGUGGGGUAAAGGCCUACCAAGGCGACGAUCCUUAGCUGGUCUGAGAGGAUGAUCAGCCACACUGGGACUGAGACACGGCCCAGACUCCUACGGGAGGCAGCAGUGGGGAAUAUUGGACAAUGGGCGAAAGCCUGAUCCAGCAAUGCCGCGUGAGUGAUGAAGGCCUUAGGGUUGUAAAGCUCUUUUACCCGGGAUGAUAAUGACAGUACCGGGAGAAUAAGCUCCGGCUAACUCCGUGCCAGCCGCCGCCGUAA